This 79-nucleotide transfer RNA is filed under the name Alosa alosa (allis shad). RNAcentral's name for it is "tRNA-OTHER". Lineage: Eukaryota; Metazoa; Chordata; Actinopteri; Clupeiformes; Clupeidae. The record is from RNAcentral.
UCCUACCUGGCAUGCCUACUGGUUAGGGCUUCGGACUUGUAACCGGAGGGUUGCCGGUUCGAACCCCGACCAGUAGGAA